This 739-nucleotide ribosomal RNA is filed under the name uncultured bacterium. RNAcentral's name for it is "bacterial SSU rRNA". It matches the Rfam family "Bacterial small subunit ribosomal RNA", at positions 9 to 753 of the family's 1533-position model. The record is from RNAcentral.
GAGUUUGAACCUGGCUCAGGAUGAACGCUGGCGGCGUGCUUAACACAUGCAAGUCGAACGAAGCAAGAAGCGAAGCGCAAGCAGAGGUUCUUGACUGAGUGGCGGACGGGUGAGUAACGCGUGGAUAACCUGCCUUUCACAGGGGGAUAACAGCUGGAAACGGCUGCUAAUACCGCAUGAGCCUCUUUUGUCGCAUGAGGAGAGAGGGAAAGAGAAAUCGGUGAGAGAUGGAUCCGCGUCCGAUUAGCUAGUUGGAGGGGUAACAGCCCACCAAGGCGACGAUCGGUAGCCGACCUGAGAGGGUGGACGGCCACAUUGGGACUGAGACACGGCCCAAACUCCUACGGGAGGCAGCAGUGGGGAAUAUUGCACAAUGGGGGAAACCCUGAUGCAGCAACGCCGCGUGAGUGAGGAAGUAUUUCGGUAUGUAAAGCUCUAUCAGCAGGGAAUAGAAAAGAAGGUACCUGAAAAAGAAGCCCCGGCUAACUACGUGCCAGCAGCCGCGGUAAUACGUAGGGGGCAAGCGUUAUCCGGAUUUACUGGGUGUAAAGGGAGCGUAGACGGAAAGGCAAGUCAGAAGUGAAAACCCAAGGCUCAACCAUGGGACUGCUUUUGAAACUGUCAAACUAGAGUACGGGAGAGGUAAGAGGAAUUCCUAGUGUAGCGGUGAAAUGCGUAGAUAUUAGGAGGAACACCAGUGGCGAAGGCGUCUUACUGGACCGAAACUGACGUUGAGGCU